This 1404-nucleotide long non-coding RNA is filed under the name Homo sapiens (human). RNAcentral's name for it is "non-protein coding lnc-VSTM2B-9:27". The record is from RNAcentral. Lineage: Eukaryota; Metazoa; Chordata; Mammalia; Primates; Hominidae.
GUGUCUUAGGCGGUUCCAGCCGUUAGUCACAGGGCGGCCGGACUACAAUCCCAGCAUACAACGGGAGUGGAGGUGGUGACCUUGAGAGAGGGCCUGUGCUGUGCGCGCCUCGCGGGGCAUGCUGGGAGCAGUAGCAUCUUAGCUGCUUCCGGCCGCUGGUCGCAGGGCUGCGGGACUACAAUCUUCGCAUGAAAUGGAAGAGAGGGUGGUGCGGAUAGCUUGAGGAAGGUCUCGCAUCUGGGGCUCGAUCUCGUGCAGAGGAGCAUUUCCGAAGACACUGGCCGCUCCCACAAUGGCUCCGAAGAACCCAGCGACCAGCGGGUUCAUGAGUUUGUUGGGGCUGUCCACUCGGUACCAGCUGCGCAGGGAUGUCAGGACAAAGAAACAAGUUGCCUGGUUCCAGCCCUGCUUCAGCACGGGGCCUGUGGGGCCCCGGUAAGUCCCGGUGUUCCCGCACAAUCUCCUAACCCUGUGGAAGAAUCCCCUGUACUUGGAUUUGGAGAGGUCUGGCCAUGGAUUAACUUCACCUUGAUGGUCUCCAUGGGACAUAGGACCACCACGGCCUCGGCCACGCUAGCUCACUGGCCGCACCGCUGCCCGCCUUGCUGUUCACCAGUCCCUGGGCAUCCCGCAUCUGGUUGCUGAGGAACGCCUGACGCCGCCUUGUGGAUGAAGCCGCAGAGCAGGGAGCUGAGGCUGCGGCCCAGGCCCAGGCUGCCUUGGCUGCGACUGUGUGCCUGCAGGCCCCAUGCCCGGUAUCCGGUGGAUGCGAGUGCUAGUCCAGCUGCAGCUGCAUCUUCACGAACUCGGUGGGGAACGGGAUGCAGAUUUUUUUUUUCUUUUCCUUCCUUCCUUCCUUCCUUCCAACUUCCUUCCUUCCUUCCCCUUUCUUUCUUUCUUUUUUUUUUUUUUUUUUUUUUGACAGAAUUUUGCUCUUGUCCCCCAGGCUGGAGUGCAGUGGCGCGAUCUUGGCUCACUACAACCUGGAUUCAAGCGAUUCUCCUGCCUCAGCCUCCCGAGUAGCUGGGAUUACAGGCAUGUGCCACCAUUCCCGGCUAAUUUUUUUGUCUUUUUAGUAGAGACGGUGUUUCCCCAUGUUGGUCAGGCUGGUCUCAAACGCCUGACUCAGAUGAUCCGCCCGCCUCGGCCACCCAAAGUGCUGAGAUUACAGGCUUGAACCACCGCGCCUGGCCCUGUGAUGUAGAUUUUGAUGCUGCCAGCCAGGCUGCCUGCCGGGAUCGCCUGCCCUGGAGCAGGAGCAUCAGCCGUGCGUUCCAGGACGCAGGCAUGGCAUGACCGGCAGGAGGCGGAGUGCCCGGCGUCUCUUGGGAUCGGAGCCUCCUGAAUUCCACGCUGGGACCUUAAUUUGGUUUUAACACAAAUAAAGAUCUCACAUAAAGAUAA